Molecule: non-coding RNA, 2712 nt
Organism: Benincasa hispida (wax gourd)
Lineage: Eukaryota; Viridiplantae; Streptophyta; Magnoliopsida; Cucurbitales; Cucurbitaceae
Source: RefSeq, a predicted model, not a curated record
GUCUCUUAACAUGAACCCUUCUUCUUCCUCUUCGCCUGUAGAUCUUGAAUACGUCGAACCGGAAUAGUAAGGGUUGCUGAAGGCUACGACCGGUCAGUUAUCUUCCGUUUCCGAAUUCCACCGUUGAAGCAUAUUAGUCUGUUUCUUCUACUUUCGAAAUCCUACAACGUAUUUCAGAAUCAUGAAUCCUUAUGACCAUAGAUACAACGAUCCCAAUUCCUACCGAGAACGCCGAAGUGACCUUGUGGGUCUACAGCCUGCUGGGCCACCGCCAAUAGUAGGGCGUGAAUCCUUGUACAAAGGUUAUCAACCUCCUCCAGUUCCAUACUAUGGCCGUGAAAGAGGUGGAGGAGGUGCUUUACCUAAUGCAGGAGGCUUCAAUGGCUUCCCACGGUUUCAGCCUCCCGCAGGACCGUUUAAUAUCGGCCGCGGUGGCAGUGGUUCCGGUAACAGCGGUGGUGGUCGGAGAAUGUUUGAUUCGGGGAGGGGCGGUAGAAGAACUGGUGGGAAUAUUGGUUUUGGAGGUGGACGUGGUGGAGGCACGGGAUUUGACGGCCGUGCUGGCGGAAGAGGGGCUGGACGUGGUGGUGGUUCUUCAAGAGGGGAUUUAGAUAACAUAGUCCUUCCGAAUCAGAAUUUUGGCAAUUUAGUCCCUUUUGAAAAGAAUUUCUACACUGAGUGUCCUUCUGUUCGUGCAAUGACGGAGUCUGAAGUUAAGAUUUACAGAGAGAGGCGUGAUAUUAGAGUGGAAGGAUACGAUGUUCCAAGACCGAUUCGGAGUUUUCAGGAGGCGAAUUUUCCUGCUUACUGCCUUGAUGUAAUUGCGAAAUUGGGAUUUGUUGAGCCAACUCCAAUUCAGGCUCAAGGAUGGCCGAUGGCCAUGAAAGGAAGAGAUUUGAUUGGCAUCGCUGAGACUGGUUCUGGGAAGACUCUAGCCUAUCUACUGCCAGCUUUAAUACACAUUAGUGCCCAGCCUCGUUUAGCGCAUGGUGAAGGUCCUAUUGUGUUGGUGUUAGCACCCACUAGAGAAUUAGCUGUUCAAAUUCAACAAGAGGCUACUAAAUUCGGGUUGCGUGCUAAUAUUAGAAGUACUUGCAUUUAUGGUGGGGCGCCGAAGGGCCCUCAAAUUCGUGAUCUUAAAAAUGGUGUUGAGAUUGUUAUUGCUACACCUGGUCGGCUCAUAGAUAUGCUCGAAGCUGGCCACACUAACCUGCGGCGAGUGACUUACCUUGUUUUAGAUGAAGCGGAUAGAAUGCUGGACAUGGGAUUUGAGCCUCAAAUAAGGACUAUCGUUAGCCAAAUCCGACCUGAUAGGCAGACAUUAUAUUGGAGUGCCACAUGGCCAAGGGAGGUUGAGAAAUUGGCUAGACAAUUUUUACGUAAUGCAUAUAAGGUGAUUAUUGGUUCACCAGAUCUUAAAGCUAACCAGUCUAUAAACCAAGUCGUUGAAGUUUUGCCAGAGUCUGAAAAAUAUAGAAGGUUAAUAAAAUUGCUUGUAGAAGUGAUGGAUGGUAGUCGUAUUCUGAUUUUUGUGGAAACAAAAAAGGGAUGUGAUAAAGUAACGAGACAAUUGAGAAUGGAUGGAUGGCCAGCUCUAUCCAUUCAUGGCGAUAAAAAGCAGGCUGAAAGGGACUUGGUUUUGUCAGAAUUUAAGAGUGGAAGAAACCCCAUAAUGACAGCCACAGAUGUGGCUGCAAGAGGGCUUGGUAGGAUUACUACAUGUCAGGUGUUUUACGUUUUAAUCUAGGCCCCGUUUGAUAACAAUUUCUUUUUUAGUUAACUUAUACAUGUUUCCUCCAAUUUUCUUAGCAUGGUUUUCAUCCCUCUUAAAACAAAUAUUUGAAUUCUUAGUAAAAUUCCAAAAACAAAAACAAGAGUUUUAUCUAUUUUUGUUAGUUUUCAAAACUCGACUUGAUUUUUGAAAAUAUUGGUAGAAAGUAAAUAACGAAACAAAGAUACUUAUGGAUGGAAGUAGUGCUUAUAACCUUACUUUUCAAGAACCAAAAACUAAAUAUUUAUCAAAUGAGGUCUUGGGUGUUCGUUUUCAAAUUCUAAUGAGUCGGCCAGCUGCUUUCCAGUUCCCGAAUAUAAUUUGUGGCUUGGGUGCAGAGGAGAGUUCAAUUGUGCAAUGUGCAGUGCAUGAUGAUUGUGAGACUGCUUGGUUUUGCCUCCCAUUUUAAACUGCAUAUGCUUUUGGUUUCUUUCUCUGGACUAAAGAGAUUUUUUUGCUUCCCAACACUGCCUUAGGUUUAGUUUACAUGCUACUUCUUCUGGGCUCCCUUCUUGCAUCCUUUGGGGUAGUAAUGUCAUAUGGUGAAGGAAGAAGGUUUGGUUUAAAGGAAACAGAGCCAGUCCCUUUUCUUACUGGCUGCUAGUACAUUGUUAAAUCAUGGCAUGAAUGUCGUAUGGAGACAAAGAUGAUGUUAUUUUGAGGUUUCUCAAUGAUUUUUUUCCAGGUUAAAGGGGAGGGAAAUCCUAUUCUCUGUAAAUCCUAUGUAUUAAUGGGUUGGUAAAGGAUAAUGAGAAAGCAGAAUUUGAUGAGUUUACGUAAAGAGAUCAUUUCCUUUGAGCCUGGUUGACUCAUUCAUUAUUGCAUUGUUGGUAUGGAAGUCGUCGUGGUGACAGCUGCUACUUAUCCCUGCAAAGUUAAGAUGUGAAAGAUAUAAAAUGUGUGAUCAACUAUGAUUUCCCAUCAAGCCUCGAGGACUACGU